This 213-nucleotide long non-coding RNA is filed under the name Elaeis guineensis (African oil palm). RNAcentral's name for it is "long non-coding RNA (EGUI_LNC070441)". Lineage: Eukaryota; Viridiplantae; Streptophyta; Magnoliopsida; Arecales; Arecaceae. The record is from RNAcentral.
UCGACUUUGAUAGAGAGAAGUAGUCCUAUGAGAUUUGAAAGGCUAGGUCUAAAAAUCUGUGGGCACAAUAGUAUAAUUGAUGGAAAAGAGUUUUCAUAGAAAUCAUAAUUAGACUUGAGCUGAUCGAUUCUAUCAUGUGACUGAUGUUGAGGUUUGAUGAUUUAUUCAUGAUAUGCCAUCUAGUCAGGACACAUGAUAGAGGGACUAACAUAC